UACAGAGGUGGCAAGCGUUGUUCGGAAUUACUGGGCGUAAAGGGCGCGUAGGCGGUCGGGUCAGUCCCGUGUGAAAUCCCUCGGCUCAACUGAGGAACUGCACGGGAAACUACCUGGCUUGAGUUCGGGAGAGGGAAGCGGAAUUCCGGGUGUAGCGGUGAAAUGCGUAGAUAUCCGGAGGAACACCGGUGGCGAAGGCGGCUUCCUGGACCGACACUGACGCUGAGGCGCGAAAGCUAGGGGAGCAAACGGG
RNAcentral lists this ribosomal RNA (253 nucleotides) under uncultured bacterium. RNAcentral's name for it is "partial 16S ribosomal RNA". It matches the Rfam family "Bacterial small subunit ribosomal RNA", at positions 524 to 776 of the family's 1533-position model. The record is from RNAcentral.